Molecule: non-coding RNA, 563 nt
Organism: Camellia sinensis
Lineage: Eukaryota; Viridiplantae; Streptophyta; Magnoliopsida; Ericales; Theaceae
Source: RefSeq, a predicted model, not a curated record
UAGAUCCCUCUAGUUUGAAAGUCUCACUUUUGUGUCUAAUGGUUAUGAAUGAGAAAGAUGCCGUGGGUUUGAAUAUGUUAUAUUUGUGCUGGAUGGUGGAAAAUAAAAUGUUAAGACUAUGUUACAAAAUUGUUACUAGCAUAUCUCUUAGAUUGGCUUUUAGGCCAUAACACUAACAAAUACCAUGAGGAAGAGGAAUUCUUGCUCGAGGGAGCUAGAGCUGGUGCAUGGACUGGAGGUUGAAUUCAUGUGGGCUUGUCUUGCAUUGUCAUGAUCAUAUAGCACAAUGGUUUCUUGUUGUUUGUUCUUGGUAUAUCGAGAUGCUUGAAAAGCAAGCUCUUGAAGAAAGCAGGGAAGUGUCGGAACAGAAAGACAUUGUGCAAAAGAAUGGACAGGCAGCAGGAUGACGCAACAGAGAGGUGAUACUCGUCAGAUGCUUAAUUAGUUAUUCCCUAUAAUUUGUAAGAUCUUUGUUGGAAUGAGGGUAAUUGGAGAGGGAUUCCUAUUUAUAUAGUAUAAUGCGAAAUCAGGUUAUUUAUAUCCUUUUUUCCUUGCCUGAUGUU